Homo sapiens (human) is the source of this 1525-nucleotide long non-coding RNA. The record is from Ensembl. NCBI's taxonomy places the organism in Eukaryota, Metazoa, Chordata, Mammalia, Primates, Hominidae.
AGAGUUUCACUCUCGUUGCCCAGGCUGGAGUUCAAUGGCACGAUCUCGGCUCACUGCAACCUCUGCAGUGUGGUAGAACGCAGAUGUGGUAGAAAUAGCCACCGCAUCGGCCCACAUCAAAGUUUUAAACAAAGGAAGCGUCACAUAUUAAAAGCUGACUUGGUGGAUGUGAAGAGAAAAAUGGAAUCAGUAGCUGAGUGGUAAGAGAUUUGCAAAAGGAGAGAAGAAGAUGGAUUAGAACAAGAAUAAACAAACAGAACAACUACAACAACAAAACUAAACAUACUUCUCCUUAUACCAUUAAACCAGUCUCCCUAUCCUGGGAAUAGGCCAGUCCAAUCAAAUGGUUGAGACUCAUUGAUCUGAUGGAGUGUUAACUUUGUUUUUAAAGGUACGAAUUAAACACCAUUUGUCCUAUCUGAUUCACAAGGAAGCAGAAUUUUUCACCAAUGAUUGUGCAAGCUCCUCCUUGUUGGGCAGUGUAUCCAGGGCACAACUAUUUUGGAGUACAACAGUGGCUAAACUAUUCAUUUCUGACUGGAAUACUUCCAAUGUUUGCAUAGUGGUAUUGAACUCUGGUUCUAUUACCAUGGGAAUAUUUAGGAUCACCUUUUCCAAGCCAUGAAUUCUAAAACUUGGAAAUCAGGUCCUCGACAUUGAAAAGAACUUGGAGUGAGGAUAUAGUGGGUAUUCUAUGACAUCUCAUCUGGUAUGUUUAUGUGGCACUACUAUAUGAAUGAAGGAGCCCAAGUUUGUAAUUUGGCUAGUAUUCAAGGUGGAGUACAUGGUGAUGGAAGGUCCCAGAUAUCUGAGUCCAAACUGUCCUGACCUUUUAAGUGAAAACCCUUUACAUGCCUUGUUGCCACAUAAAAUAAAAAGAGAAAAAAAGACCAGUGCUGUUCAUGGUCAAAGUCAGAGUGGAACCUGCAAUUCUCCAGAUCUAAUGUGUUUCAUGACCCUUGUCAUUGGUCAUACUGGGAUCUGCAUACCUCCAUGUGCCCCUGGAAGAGCAGAACUGUUUGCCAAAUAUCUAAUACAGGAGGCCUGCAAUCUGGGUCUGGAAGCUGUAAGGCCUGGUUUUGUUACUUGGCCAAGUUAUUCCAGGUUUUUGGUCUACUCAUUCAUAAUUUUUGGUGUCGAGCAUCCGAACCGGGAGCACCUGAACUAUCUCGGGCUGUGCAAGUGUGGCCUGGGAAACAGCUGAAACAUUUGGUAAUUUGGCAAAUAUUUAUGCUUAAAAGGCAGUGCCGGAACCAAUUAUGACUUCCUUGAGGGGUUUGAGAAUGCUACCUAUGGAAUCCGACUACAGGGUUUGAGUGUAACAUUGCCUUGGUAUAUCUAGGAAGGGUCCAGGACCAUUUCUGUUUUCAAUGCAAAGGGGAAAAUUCCUUUCCAAUGACUUCAACUGAAUUGUUUGACAUUUCCCAGCCCAGACUCCAGACCUGGUGAUCAGAUGAUCCCAGCCCCAGCCUUCAAACCACUGCAAAUAGAGAAGAGACAAGCUAUCCCUGAGAGAGCCCUGCCC